Molecule: long non-coding RNA, 283 nt
Filed under: Citrus maxima (pomelo)
Lineage: Eukaryota; Viridiplantae; Streptophyta; Magnoliopsida; Sapindales; Rutaceae
Description: long non-coding RNA (CMAX_LNC003783)
Source: RNAcentral
AGCAGAAGGCUUCACAAACGGCAAUAGGGUUUCUUCAUAGAUGGUGUUUGUUGCGAUACCCCGCCAUCGCAUGGCUCUGGAUCGAGCCAUGAUUGCUACCACUGCUGCUUUGGCUCCAUAAACUCACGGAUGCUAUCGUGCCAUGGACAUAGAAAAGAUAAAGACGAAGAAAGAAGGAGAAAAAGUGGGGGAAAAAAAAAAGGAAAAAGAGAAGGAACCUAGCGGAGACGAAGAAAGAAGGAGAGAGAGGAAACAAGAAAAAUGUAAAUAAAUAAAAUAAAAA